GGAAAGUCCGGGCAACACAGAGCACCAUACUCUCUAACAGUGAGCUGUCGGCGACGGCAGAGUAACGUGACAGAAAAUAACAGCCUGAGCCACUUUCGGGUGACUUAGGCAAUGGUGAAAAGGUGGGGUAAGAGCCCACCGGAUGUCGUGGCGACACGGCAUGCCGCACGUCUUAUGGGUUGCAAGGCCAUGUAUACCGGCGAGUGACAUCCUUUGAUGGAUUCAGUCACAAUGGGUUGCUCGUCCAUUGCCGGGGGGUAGGCUGCUGGAGUGCUGAAGCAAAGCGAAGCACCGAUUAGAUAAAUGACACGGGCGCUGUGGCAACCUUCAGGGCAGAAUACGUAAGACCCUGACAGAAGUCCCACAGUGACAUAACCCGGCUUAUAGUCCUGCUACCUUU
RNAcentral lists this RNase P RNA (400 nucleotides) under Duncaniella sp. RNAcentral's name for it is "partial RNase P RNA component class A". It matches the Rfam family "Bacterial RNase P class A", at positions 45 to 367 of the family's 367-position model. From Rfam's summary of the family: Ribonuclease P (RNase P) is a ubiquitous endoribonuclease, found in archaea, bacteria and eukarya as well as chloroplasts and mitochondria. Its best characterised activity is the generation of mature 5'-ends of tRNAs by cleaving the 5'-leader elements of precursor-tRNAs. Cellular RNase Ps are ribonucleoproteins. The record is from RNAcentral. Lineage: Bacteria; Pseudomonadati; Bacteroidota; Bacteroidia; Bacteroidales; Muribaculaceae.